This 407-nucleotide ribosomal RNA is filed under the name uncultured bacterium. RNAcentral describes it as "bacterial SSU rRNA". It matches the Rfam family "Bacterial small subunit ribosomal RNA", at positions 8 to 429 of the family's 1533-position model. The record is from RNAcentral.
AGAGUUUGAUCCUGGCUCAGAAUCAACGCUGGCGGCGCGCUUAACACAUGCAAGUCGCACGAGAAAGUGGAGCAAUCCAUGAGUAAAGUGGCGUACGGGUGAGUAACACGUGGAUCAUCUACCUUUUAGCGGGGAAUACCCCUGGGAAACCGGGGACAAUACCGCAUAAGCUCGAAAGAGGAAAGCAGCAAUGCGCUGAAAGAGGAGUCCGCGGCUGAUUAGCUAGUUGGCGGGGUAACGGCCCACCAAGGCGAAGAUCGGUAGCCGGCCUGAGAGGGCACACGGCCACACUGGCACUGAAACACGGGCCAGACUCCUACGGGAGGCAGCAGUGGGGAAUCUUGCACAAUGGAGGAAACUCUGAUGCAGCGACGCCGCGUGAGCGAUGAAGCCCUUCGGGGUGUAAA